CUCUGCGGUGGACUCCGUGCGGAUACACACAUCGAACGCGCACUUUCCAGUCCUAACGGCUCCUUCAGUUUUCAAAUUUCUCGUUGAUGAAGUGGAAGACGAAACAGCGGCGUCUGAAGGCUGACUGUCAUUCACAAGUGGCUCCAGUCUGGUUUGGUGGUUCUGCCAUCCAAGUAAAGUUAUUCACAAGUGGCUCCAGUCUGGUUUGGGGGUCUACGCUUUCUCAUCCUGUCCUGCCACCCAAGUGAAGUUAUUCACAAGUGGCUCCAGUCUGGUUUGGGGGUCUACGCUUUCUCAUCCUGUCCUGCCACCCAAGUG
Sardina pilchardus (European sardine) is the source of this 318-nucleotide long non-coding RNA. RefSeq lists it as uncharacterized. The record is from RefSeq and is a predicted model, not a curated record. Lineage: Eukaryota; Metazoa; Chordata; Actinopteri; Clupeiformes; Clupeidae. The transcript has 4 exons.